CACACCUGGGAACAAUCAAGGGCUGGCAGGACAACACAGACACUCCCAAGGAACAGAAGCCAAAAUAAACAGUGAAAACCCAAAUCCUCACAAAGUCACUACAACCAGGUUGUCAGCAUAGCAGAUGAAGGACAUCUCUAAAAUGCAGAGGGUGUUUUUCCACUUUUUGGUGAUGGUGCUGUAGGAGCCACAGCUGCCACCGACUGCCUGUCCCAAGAGCCAGUUCCUGCUGCCAGAGACGUCAUCACCAGUCAAGCCUUCACCAGUUCUGAUGAAAAACACACAAAUGGCACGAGAGUUACCUUCAGCAUUUCAUCACAGUGGACAUUUUAUGUCAUUGAAUGGAAACUCACUUCACGUCGAUCCACCUCCAGACCAAUGACUCCUCAGGAUCCUGGUGUAAACCGAUCCAGACAUUAGUGAAGCCUUCUUCUAUCAGCCACGUCGUCAGCAGGUUUGGGUCCACCGUGUCCCAGGUGACCAUGUCUAUGUAGUACUUCUGGCAGUACCAUCUUGCUUUGUCCCAUGUCAGCUUCUGAGAAGGAAAAUAAAUGGUCUUUUGAACCUCAGCUUCUAUCCAGGCCACAACAUUAAAGAGGAGGAGAAGCACGAGUGCAGAGCAGCAGCCUUUCCUCCCCAUCUUUACUCCUGUUGUCGCAUCAAGUCAGAUGUGUCGGUGCUGGAGAGAAGCCUUGUGUCAUUUUAUACCGGCCUACAGGUCAGUGUCACUCAGACACACCUCAGUGCAUCCAGCAGACCAGUGACAUCGCUUCCUCACCUGCUUUUGGAGGGAAAUCACGACCCAACAUUUACAUGGACACGAGUUUUGGGUUUCGGAGGACAGCGUAGAUUAAAAUUUGACCCUUCUUCAGAUUUCACCCGUGCUUUUCUAAAUGAAUAAAUAAACACGCCAGUGAACACCAAA
Poecilia latipinna (sailfin molly) is the source of this 925-nucleotide long non-coding RNA. RefSeq lists it as uncharacterized. The record is from RefSeq and is a predicted model, not a curated record. The transcript is spliced from 2 exons. NCBI's taxonomy places the organism in Eukaryota, Metazoa, Chordata, Actinopteri, Cyprinodontiformes, Poeciliidae.